This 97-nucleotide transfer RNA is filed under the name Cordyceps javanica. RNAcentral describes it as "Isaria javanica tRNA". It matches the Rfam family "tRNA". From Rfam's summary of the family: Transfer RNA (tRNA) molecules are approximately 80 nucleotides in length. Their secondary structure includes four short double-helical elements and three loops (D, anti-codon, and T loops). The record is from Rfam by way of RNAcentral. Lineage: Eukaryota; Fungi; Ascomycota; Sordariomycetes; Hypocreales; Cordycipitaceae.
GCUCGGAUAACUCAGUGGUAGAGUACGGGAUUGCAGCGAGAUGAUGCUCAUCGGGCGAGUUAUCCUGAAGUCGUCGGUUCGAUCCCGGCUCCGAGCU